GUACAAGCAACUUUUCUAUUUUAAUAGGAUAAUGCCGAAUACUCUAUUAGAAUUUUGCCCAUGGAGUUUGAAUUUUGUUCCUUAAAUUAUGGUUUCAUCAGAUUUAAAGGAACCAAGGCAAAGGGCCCUUAUAGGUAGAUGACAUCUAAAGUAUCCAUGCUGAAUGAAACACUUCAUCUAAUUCUUGGUUUAGUAUUUUAACAACAUCUGAAACACCUAGUUCUUUUUAUUAUUUUUAAUGUAUUAACAUUGCUUCAUUUAUGGGUUGGGUGAAGUUUUCAUCAUUGUGUUUUAUUGUUCUCAAAUGAGCAUCAUAUGUGAUUGUCACAUAUGUGUUUCAUUUGAAAGUUAGUCAUCUGCUAUAAAAUGUGUGAAUUAAAAAUAGCAAUUGUUUGUUUAGAAUUCUGAGGUCUUAUUCUGCUCCUUUCUGUUUCCUAUAAUAAAAUCCUUAUUCUUAAAUA
This 461-nucleotide long non-coding RNA is filed under the name Marmota monax (woodchuck). The record is from RNAcentral. Lineage: Eukaryota; Metazoa; Chordata; Mammalia; Rodentia; Sciuridae.